UACCGUAGGUGGCGGAGCGGUUGUACCGGGAAUUACUGGGUGUAAAGGGCGUGUAGGCGGGAAGCAAGUCAGAUGUGAAAUCCCGGGGCUCAACUCCGGAGUUGCAUCUGAAACUGUUUUUCUUGAGUGCUGGAGAGGAAAGCGGAAUUCCUAGUGUAGCGGUGAAAUGCGUAGAUAUUAGGAGGAACACCAGUGGCGAAGGCGGCUUUCUGGACAGUAACUGACGCUGAGGCGCGAAAGCGUGGGGAGCAAACAGGAUUAGAUACCCGGGUAGUCCCUGA
Molecule: ribosomal RNA, 281 nt
Filed under: uncultured prokaryote
Description: partial 16S ribosomal RNA
Rfam family: Bacterial small subunit ribosomal RNA
Source: RNAcentral